This 616-nucleotide ribosomal RNA is filed under the name uncultured bacterium. RNAcentral describes it as "bacterial SSU rRNA". It matches the Rfam family "Bacterial small subunit ribosomal RNA", at positions 8 to 610 of the family's 1533-position model. The record is from RNAcentral.
AGAGUUUGAUCCUGGCUCAGGAUGAACGCUAGCGACAGGCUUAACACAUGCAAGUCGAGGGGCAGCGGGGGAGUAGCAAUACUCCCGCCGGCGACCGGCGCACGGGUGAGUAACACGUAUGAAACCUGCCCGUAGCAGGGGGAUAAGCGGAAGAAAUUCCGUCUAAUACCGCGUAACAACCCUUGGAGGCAUCUCCUCGGGUUUAAAGGGAGCGAUUCCGGCUACGGAUGGUCAUGCGUCGCAUUAGCUUGUUGGCGGGGUAACGGCCCACCAAGGCGACGAUGCGUAGGGGUUCUGAGAGGAAGGUCCCCCCACACUGGUACUGAGACACGGACCAGACUCCUACGGGAGGCAGCAGUGAGGAAUAUUGGUCAAUGGCCGCAGGGCUGAACCAGCCAAGUCGCGUGAGGGAUGACGGUCCUAUGGAUUGUAAACCUCUUUUGUCAGGGAGCAAAGGGCGCCACGUGUGGCGUUUUGCGAGUACCUGAAGAAAAAGCAUCGGCUAACUCCGUGCCAGCAGCCGCGGUAAUACGGAGGAUGCGAGCGUUAUCCGGAUUUAUUGGGUUUAAAUGGUGCGCAAGCGGAAUGUCAAGUCAGCGGUAAAAUUUCGGGGCUC